UACAGAGGUCUCAAGCGUUGUUCGGAUUUACUGGGCGUAAAGGGCGCGUAGGCGGCCACCGCAAGUCAGUUGUGAAAUCUCUGGGCUUAACCCAGAAAGGUCAACUGAUACUGCGGGGCUAGAGUGCAGAAGGGGCAACUGGAAUUCUCGGUGUAGCGGUGAAAUGCGUAGAUAUCCGAAAGAACACCGGUGGCGAAGGCGGCCUGCUGGGCUACUGCUGACACUGAUGCGCGACAGCGUGGGGAGCAAACAGG
Molecule: ribosomal RNA, 254 nt
Filed under: uncultured bacterium
Lineage: Bacteria
Description: partial 16S ribosomal RNA
Rfam family: Bacterial small subunit ribosomal RNA
Source: RNAcentral